RNAcentral lists this long non-coding RNA (551 nucleotides) under Capra hircus (goat). RNAcentral describes it as "lncRNA (ENSCHIG00000007118.1)". Lineage: Eukaryota; Metazoa; Chordata; Mammalia; Artiodactyla; Bovidae. The record is from RNAcentral.
UAAGGAUCAGAGAAAACUGUAAGCCAUCAAUGGGGGAGGCCAGCCUUCAGGCACAUUCAUGAUAUGGAGCCCUGGAAAAGCUCUGGAUUGAAGGCACCAGGCAUUUUUUACUGAAGUGUAAUAUACCAAUGGGAAAACACACAAACUGUAAUUAUACAUCUUGUUGUGUAUAAUUAUGUGCAAAAUGAGCCAUCCAUAUAACCAGUACCUGGAUCAAGCUGUAGAAUAUUACAAGCAACCCAGAAAUCCCCUUGUAUCUUCUCCCAGGCACUAUCUUCCAAAAGGAGAUGCAGAUUCGAUCCCUGGGUCGGAAGAUCUCCUGGAGAACAAAAUGGCAAGCCACUCCAAUAUUCUUACCUGGAGAAUCCCUUGGAUGGAGGAGCCUGAGAGGCUUUAGUGCAUGGGGUCUCAAAAAAUUAUCAGUCCAUUAUAAUGUUUGCUGGAUUUAUCAACACGUGAGAUUUCAGAAUCAACCCUCCUAAUCAGCCACCCAAUGCCUGGAGCCUGCUGUAACUACUUUAAUGAUGUUUAGUAAAUACUGUCAAAGAGAG